GGGGCUGAUUCUGGAUUCGACGGGAUUUGCGAAACCCAAGGUGCAUGCCGAGGGGCGGUUGGCCUCGUAAAAAGCCGCAAAAAAUAGUCGCAAACGACGAAAACUACGCUUUAGCAGCUUAAUAACCUGCUUAGAGCCCUCUCUCCCUAGCCUCCGCUCUUAGGACGGGGAUCAAGAGAGGUCAAACCCAAAAGAGAUCGCGUGAAAGCCCUGCCUGGGGUUGAAGCGUUAAAACUUAAUCAGGCUAGUUUGUUAGUGGCGUGUCCGUCCGCAGCUGGCAAGCGAAUGUAAAGACUGACUAAGCAUGUAGUACCGAGGAUGUAGGAAUUUCGGACGCGGGUUCAACUCCCGCCAGCUCCACCA
This 363-nucleotide transfer-messenger RNA is filed under the name Escherichia coli. RNAcentral describes it as "Standard tmRNA". It matches the Rfam family "transfer-messenger RNA". Rfam says of the family: Bacterial tmRNA, also known as 10Sa RNA or SsrA, is named for its dual tRNA and mRNA-like properties. Its role is to liberate the mRNA from a stalled ribosome. To accomplish this part of the tmRNA is used as a reading frame that ends in a translation stop signal. The record is from RNAcentral. Lineage: Bacteria; Pseudomonadati; Pseudomonadota; Gammaproteobacteria; Enterobacterales; Enterobacteriaceae.